RNAcentral lists this transfer RNA (75 nucleotides) under Clostridia bacterium. RNAcentral's name for it is "tRNA-Glu". It matches the Rfam family "tRNA". Rfam says of the family: Transfer RNA (tRNA) molecules are approximately 80 nucleotides in length. Their secondary structure includes four short double-helical elements and three loops (D, anti-codon, and T loops). RNAcentral also lists the same sequence under 1 other name. The record is from RNAcentral. Lineage: Bacteria; Bacillati; Bacillota; Clostridia.
GGCCCCUUGGUCAAGAGGUUAAGACACGGCCCUUUCACGGCUGCGACACGAGUUCGAUUCUCGUAGGGGUCACCA